UUAAUUUGAGAGUUUGAUCCUGGCUCAGGACGAACGCUGGCGGCGUGCCUAAUACAUGCAAGUCGAACGAACUCUGGUAUUGAUUGGUGCUUGCAUCAUGAUUUACAUUUGAGUGAGUGGCGAACUGGUGAGUAACACGUGGGAAACCUGCCCAGAAGCGGGGGAUAACACCUGGAAACAGAUGCUAAUACCGCAUAACAACUUGGACCGCAUGGUCCGAGCUUGAAAGAUGGCUUCAGCUAUCACUUUUGGAUGGUCCCGCGGCGUAUUAGCUAGAUGGUGGGGUAACGGCUCACCAUGGCAAUGAUACGUAGCCGACCUGAGAGGGUAAUCGGCCACAUUGGGACUGAGACACGGCCCAAACUCCUACGGGAGGCAGCAGUAGGGAAUCUUCCACAAUGGACGAAAGUCUGAUGGAGCAACGCCGCGUGAGUGAAGAAGGGUUUCGGCUCGUAAAACUCUGUUGUUAAAGAAGAACAUAUCUGAGAGUAACUGUUCAGGUAUUGACGGUAUUUAACCAGAAAGCCACGGCUAACUACGUGCCAGCAGCCGCGGUAAUACGUAGGUGGCAAGCGUUGUCCGGAUUUAUUGGGCGUAAAGCGAGCGCAGGCGGUUUUUUAAGUCUGAUGUGAAAGCCUUCGGCUCAACCGAAGAAGUGCAUCGGAAACUGGGAAACUUGAGUGCAGAAGAGGACAGUGGAACUCCAUGUGUAGCGGUGAAAUGCGUAGAUAUAUGGAAGAACACCAGUGGCGAAGGCGGCUGUCUGGUCUGUAACUGACGCUGAGGCUCGAAAGUAUGGGUAGCAAACAGGAUUAGAUACCCUGGUAGUCCAUACCGUAAACGAUGAAUGCUAAGUGUUGGAGGGUUUCCGCCCUUCAGUGCUGCAGCUAACGCAUUAAGCAUUCCGCCUGGGGAGUACGGCCGCAAGGCUGAAACUCAAAGGAAUUGACGGGGGCCCGCACAAGCGGUGGAGCAUGUGGUUUAAUUCGAAGCUACGCGAAGAACCUUACCAGGUCUUGACAUACUAUGCAAAUCUAAGAGAUUAGACGUUCCCUUCGGGGACAUGGAUACAGGUGGUGCAUGGUUGUCGUCAGCUCGUGUCGUGAGAUGUUGGGUUAAGUCCCGCAACGAGCGCAACCCUUAUUAUCAGUUGCCAGCAUUAAGUUGGGCACUCUGGUGAGACUGCCGGUGACAAACCGGAGGAAGGUGGGGAUGACGUCAAAUCAUCAUGCCCCUUAUGACCUGGGCUACACACGUGCUACAAUGGAUGGUACAACGAGUUGCGAACUCGCGAGAGUAAGCUAAUCUCUUAAAGCCAUUCUCAGUUCGGAUUGUAGGCUGCAACUCGCCUACAUGAAGUCGGAAUCGCUAGUAAUCGCGGAUCAGCAUGCCGCGGUGAAUACGUUCCCGGGCCUUGUACACACCGCCCGUCACACCAUGAGAGUUUGUAACACCCAAAGUCGGUGGGGUAACCUUUUAGGAACCAGCCGCCUAAGGUGGGACAGAUGAUUAGGGUGAAGUCGUAACAAGGUAGCCGUAGGAGAACCUGCGGCUGGAUCACCUCCUUUCUAAGGAA
This 1576-nucleotide ribosomal RNA is filed under the name Lactiplantibacillus plantarum. RNAcentral's name for it is "Lactobacillus plantarum 16S ribosomal RNA". It matches the Rfam family "Bacterial small subunit ribosomal RNA". The record is from RNAcentral. Lineage: Bacteria; Bacillati; Bacillota; Bacilli; Lactobacillales; Lactobacillaceae.